RNAcentral lists this ribosomal RNA (254 nucleotides) under uncultured bacterium. Its description in RNAcentral is "partial 16S ribosomal RNA". It matches the Rfam family "Bacterial small subunit ribosomal RNA", at positions 524 to 776 of the family's 1533-position model. The record is from RNAcentral.
CACGUAGGGGGCGAGCGUUGUCCGGAUUUAUUGGGCGUAAAGAGCUCGUAGGUGGCUUAGUAAGUCGGGUGUGAAACCUCCAGGCUCAACCUGGAGACGCCACCCGAUACUGCUAUAGCUUGAGUCCGGUAGGGGAGCGUGGAAUUCCUGGUGUAGCGGUGAAAUGCGCAGAUAUCAGGAGGAACACCAAUAGCGAAGGCAGCUCGCUGGGACGUUACUGACACUGAGGCGCGAAAGCGUGGGGAGCGAACAGG